This 89-nucleotide transfer RNA is filed under the name Nanobdellota archaeon. Its description in RNAcentral is "tRNA-Ser". It matches the Rfam family "tRNA". From Rfam's summary of the family: Transfer RNA (tRNA) molecules are approximately 80 nucleotides in length. Lineage: Archaea; Nanobdellati; Nanobdellota. The record is from RNAcentral.
GCUGGGGUCGCGCAGCUUGGUAACGCGCAGGCCUGCUAAGUCUGUUUCCCUUUCGGGAUUCGUGGGUUCAAAUCCCACCUCCAGCGCCA